Molecule: transfer RNA, 89 nt
Filed under: Laccaria bicolor S238N-H82
Lineage: Eukaryota; Fungi; Basidiomycota; Agaricomycetes; Agaricales; Hydnangiaceae
Rfam family: tRNA
About the family: Transfer RNA (tRNA) molecules are approximately 80 nucleotides in length. Their secondary structure includes four short double-helical elements and three loops (D, anti-codon, and T loops).
Source: Rfam by way of RNAcentral
GGCCUGAUGGUCUAGUAGUACUAGUAUGAUUCCUUGUUAGGGGUUUAUCAGUUUCGAGGAGGUCCUGGGUUCAAUUCCCAGUCAGGCCC